RNAcentral lists this ribosomal RNA (667 nucleotides) under Cortinarius indotatus. RNAcentral's name for it is "eukaryotic LSU rRNA". The stretch from base 289 to 442 matches the Rfam family "5.8S ribosomal RNA". The record is from RNAcentral. Lineage: Eukaryota; Fungi; Basidiomycota; Agaricomycetes; Agaricales; Cortinariaceae.
AAGUAAAAGUCGUAACAAGGUUUCCGUAGGUGAACCUGCGGAAGGAUCAUUAUUGAAAUAAACCUGAUGAGUUGCUGCUGGUUCUCUAGGGAGCAUGUGCACACUUGUCAUCUUUAUAUCUCCACCUGUGCACCUUUUGUAGACCUGGAUAUCUUUCUGAAUGCGCCUAGCAUUCAGGUUUGAGGAUUGACUCUUGUCUUUCCUUACAUUUCCAGGCCUAUGUUUCUUCAUAUACCCCAUGUAUGUYAUAGAAUGUAAUAAUGGGCCUUUGCGCCUAUAAACUUAUACAACUUUCAGCAACGGAUCUCUUGGCUCUCGCAUCGAUGAAGAACGCAGCGAAAUGCGAUAAGUAAUGUGAAUUGCAGAAUUCAGUGAAUCAUCGAAUCUUUGAACGCACCUUGCGCUCCUUGGUAUUCCGAGGAGCAUGCCUGUUUGAGUGUCAUUAAUAUAUCAACCUCCUCAAGUUUUACUUGUUGAGUGUUGGAUGUGGGGGCUUUUUUGCUGGUCUCUUUGAGAUCAACUCCCCUGAAAUGCAUUAGCGGAACAUUUUGUUGACCGUUCAUUGGUGUGAUAACUAUCUACGCUAUUGACGUGAAGCAGUUCAGCUUCUAACAGUCCAUUUGCUUGGACAAUUUUUCAUUAAUGUGACCUCAAAUCAGGUAGGACU